UUGUUCUCACUUUGGCAACACAUGCACUAAAAUUGGAAUGAUACAGAGAAAAUUAGCAUGGCCCCUAUGCAAGGAUCACACAGAUAUUUGUGUUUAUAUAUUUUU
This is a small nuclear RNA of Coturnix japonica (Japanese quail), 105 nucleotides long. The record is from Ensembl. NCBI's taxonomy places the organism in Eukaryota, Metazoa, Chordata, Aves, Galliformes, Phasianidae.